UACGUAGGGGGCAAGCGUUGUCCGGAAUCAUUGGGCGUAAAGCGCGUGUAGGCGGCCCGGUAAGUCCGCUGUGAAAGUCGGGGGCUCAACCCUCGAAUGCCGGUGGAUACUGUUGGGCUAGAGUGCGGGAGAGGCGAGUGGAAUUCCUGGUGUAGCGGUGAAAUGCGCAGAUAUCAGGAGGAACACCAAUUGCGAAGGCAGCUCGCUGGAACGUAACUGACGCUGGAGACGCGAAAGCGUGGGGAGCAAACAGG
RNAcentral lists this ribosomal RNA (254 nucleotides) under uncultured bacterium. Its description in RNAcentral is "partial 16S ribosomal RNA". It matches the Rfam family "Bacterial small subunit ribosomal RNA", at positions 524 to 776 of the family's 1533-position model. The record is from RNAcentral.